Molecule: ribosomal RNA, 485 nt
Filed under: uncultured bacterium
Lineage: Bacteria
Description: partial 16S ribosomal RNA
Rfam family: Bacterial small subunit ribosomal RNA
Source: RNAcentral
AUUGAACGCUGGCGGCAUGCCUUACACAUGCAAGUCGAACGGCAGCACGGGUGCUUGCACCUGGUGGCGAGUGGCGAACGGGUGAGUAAUACAUCGGAACAUGUCCUGUAGUGGGGAUAGGCCCGCGUAAAGCGGAAUUAAUACGGAUAAGAGCUUUCGGAGAAAGGGGGGGGCCCUCGGGGCUUGAGCUAUUGGGUUGGGCGAAGGCCUAUUAGGUAGUUGGUGGGGUAAAGGCCUAACAAGGUGACGAGCCAUAGCGGGUCUCAGAGGGCGAACAGACACACUGGCACUGAGACACGGCACCCACUCCUGCGGGGGGCAGCAGUGGAGACUUUUACAGAAUGGAGGAAAGCGUGAUCCUGCACUGCCGGGUGUGUGAAGAAGGCCUUCGGGUUGUAGAGCAAUUUAGUCCGGAAAGAUAUCCUUGGCUUUAAUCCGGUCGGAGGAUGACGGUACCGGAAGAAUAAGCACCGGCUAACUCCGUG